CCUUCUGAGUCCAGCCUUGGCUGAAUCCUACAAAUAUUGCUAUGUGUUGGAGCCAUUAUCAUUAUUUUACAUGUAGCCUAUGGUUUGUUUGAUUACCUUCCUUAGCUAACACUUAAUUAUUGGGGUGUUUUGAGGACUUUUUUUUAAAAUCUUUUAGCUAUUGAUUUUGCUUUUUAUUAUUUCGUGGACAGAAAAAUAGCUGGUAAAGUUCUGGUUUUGAUAUUUAUUAUUUCUGGUUGACUAGUACUUGUUUAAUUUUUUGUAAAUGUGUCAGGGACAGUUAAAAAGGCUGUGUUUCAUUUAUUGUUUUGAAAAACCUAGACUACUGUGGGCAAAUCACCAAUUGCCUUUUCUAUUUUUAAUGAUUUAUUUGCUUUUUGGCAAUUUUUAAUUGAUUAUUUUUUAUUUAUUUAUUUAUUUAUUUAGGUCUUUUUGCCAUUUCUAGGGCCACUCCUGCGGCAUAUGGAGUUUCCUAGGCUAGGGGUCUAAUUGGAGCUGUAGCUGCCAGCCUACAACGUGGGAUCUGAGCCGCGUCUGCGACCUACACCACAGCUCACGGCAACGCCGGAUCGUUAACCCAUUGAGCAAGGCCAGGGAUCGAACCGCAACCUCAUGGUUCCUAGUUGGAUUCGUUAACCACUGCGCCACGAUGGGAACUCCAGUUUUAACACAGCGGGAGCCGCACGUUACAUACAGCUUCAUGUCCACAUGUUGAGUUUUAGUCUUGCAUCUUCGUCUUUACGUCGGGAUUCACACCUGUCCAGAGAGGACAUGUGAUUGGCCCCCUUCUCUGAGUCCCCCCUUUGACGGGUUUCUUUAUGUCAGGGUGGGCUCUUUUGGAACCCAGGGCCACGCUGAGCCCCUUAGAACUUUGAAUACAGUGAAGUUAGGAAAGAGCUGGAAAGGUGAGGUUGGGGGGGGGUGGGGGGAGUACCAUUCAAGGUCAGAGACCAAGCAUCCUGUUGGGAGUGGGGUUGUUGGUGGUUGUGGUGUUGGGUCUGAUGGUAGGUGGGGGUGCUGAUAAUAACGCGUGGGUCUGCUUUGCUGCUGUUAUCGCCUCUCUCUUCGCAAGGAUCCAUCACGGCACACCUUGUUAGCCUCGUUCUCCGUUUGUGCAAACCCAGCUCCAAGGAGUAAGGGGACUGGCUCAGGAUUACCCACCUGCAUUUUAAACAGCAGACCCAGGAUAGAAAGCUGUGCCUCUGGCCCCCAAAUCCGCACUCUUUCCUUUGCGUUCCGCUGUCUGGUGGGGCCUGGUCCUACAGGUGAACUUGUGUGCUCUGUCUGCUGUGUGCUGAACCCUGGACUGGGGGCUGGGGUCACAGGGCUGACGGCGCCCUGCUUUCUAAGGGUGCCCGGUCUAGUGGGGAAGAUAAACAAACAUAGAAGGUUUGGAUUCAGGAAUCGUGCCUGAGAAUUCAGGAAAGGCUUCUUGGUGUGGAUGUCUGAUUGGAGUCUUCACCUGUGACUAAUGGCCCGCCGGGCAGGCAGCGGGGGGAAGGGGUUCCCGCAUCCAGAGGGAAGAGCAGAAGCCGGAAAGACAGGUGUGUGGCCAUGUGUGCUUCUCUGGCCUCAGAAGCUGGGGGAGGGGAACAAAUGCCAGAGGGGGCUCUGGGGGCAACCUGUUCCCAAAGGCUACACCUCCCCCCCCCGCCCCCCGCCACACAGUUGCCUCUUUUGACAGUACCAAUAACUGUGAUGGCCUGGGUUUACCAAGCGCCGCCCGACUCCCAGGCCCUGUGCCCACCACUCUGCACUCACUCUCUCCCUCAAUCCUUUCCCAGCCCCCAUGAAGCCUAGGCAUCUUAAUAACGAGGAACCCCAGGCUUGGAGACGGUGAGCACAUACCCCGGUCCCCCAGCUCACAAGUUGCCAGGCCAGGAGUUGAACCCCAGCAUCUCUGACACUGUCUGUGUUUUCUUGCCCUGCGGCCCGGGCUGGGCAUGAACACAACGUGCAGUGGACGUUUUCCCAGCAUCCUUGAAGUAUGUGGGCCUUUCGUCCACUUUUGCUUUCUUCUUUUGAUGCUUUUGAGUACAGAGAGGUAUUUUCAGCCAUAAGAAUAUCGACAGCGCGCCUAAGAUAAGUGGCACCUGCCCCCCGGCUUUGGGGACGCACUGGGCAGUAGUGGGGCGUCGACUCAGGAGGGCUAACCGUUCUUCUCGUCCAGCCAACCUCGGAAUGUAGACCUGGGGCUGCCAGUUCUUUUCUCUUACUCUUUUGUUUUUUUUUUCCGUUUGUUUUUGAAGAGAAGGAGGGUAUCUGGAUUUUUAAGUGAAGUCUUCCAGUUUCUAAAAGUCAGCUCCGUUUUUAAAUGACCCCGAGCCACCACUAAUAGGCUGGUGGGAAAAGAGGCUCCCAGUAAGUGGUCUCUGUGCUGUGCCAUGUGCCAGAGACCCUCCUGUCACCUGGCUGGUCUCCGUCUCCCUCCUGGGGAGGGGCCCUGAGGACCUCAUACUCUAGUUGUCCCCUGACCCCAUGGGGGCCGGGUGAAGAUCCUGCAUGGGCCGUCUGAGCCAGGAAUUGUCCUCAGUCUGUCUAGGGCCCUGGACUUCCCGUGCCCUCCAUUCUGGGGGUUGCUUUUCCUGUUUUCACCAACUGAUGCAGAACGGUCAGAAGAUUCCAGGACUCUUGAGAG
Molecule: long non-coding RNA, 2638 nt
Filed under: Sus scrofa (pig)
Lineage: Eukaryota; Metazoa; Chordata; Mammalia; Artiodactyla; Suidae
Description: lncRNA (ENSSSCG00015008881.1)
Source: RNAcentral